UGGAGGUAGUGACAAUAAAUCACAAUGCGGAACAAUGUUUUGCAAUUGGAUUGAGAACAACGUACAAACCUUAUCGAUAAACAAUUGGAGGGCAAGUCUGGUGCCAGCAGCCGCGGUAAUUCCAGCUCCAAUAGCGUAUAUUAACGUUGUUGCAGUUAAAAAGCUCGUAGUUGAAAUGAAGGGUAGUUGUGUAAUGAAUACAUUCGUGUAUUUUGUUAUUCAACUACCCUCCUUCUAAAUUCGAUAUAUGAGUAUUAAUUUACUUGUAUAUGGUUUUAGACGUUUACUGUGAGAAAAUUAGAGUGUUCAAAGCAGGCAUUUGCUUGAAUAUAUUAGCAUGGAAUAAUCAUGUAUGAUUUUCAUGAUGUAUUUGAUUGGUUUGGUUCAUGAGAAUAAGAUUAAAAGGGACAGUUGGGGGUAUUCAUAUUCAAUAGUCAGAGGUGAAAUUCUCGGAUUUAUGGAAGAUGAACAAGUGCGAAAGCAA
Molecule: ribosomal RNA, 484 nt
Filed under: Blastocystis sp. subtype 3
Lineage: Eukaryota; Bigyra; Opalinata; Blastocystidae
Description: bacterial SSU rRNA
Rfam family: Eukaryotic small subunit ribosomal RNA
Source: RNAcentral